ACCUUUCAAAUCAGGGUGCGGCGCGGCCCCCGAGGAGCGAAACAAUCCUUGGGAGGUAUGCGGGGGCUUCGAGCCCCCCAUUUACGCACGCACGACUGCCAUCCUUACUUUACGAGCACCUUCUGUUCUCCCUCGGCGGGGCAACCUGCCGUUGGAACCGAAUAAACUCUUUUUGCAUCUAGCAUUACCUGUUCCGAAACAAACAAUCGUUA
This 212-nucleotide unclassified non-coding RNA is filed under the name soil metagenome. RNAcentral's name for it is "partial internal transcribed spacer 1". The record is from RNAcentral.